GAUGAACGCUGGCGGCGUGCCUAAUACAUGCAAGUCGAGCGAACAGACGAGGAGCUUGCUCCUCUGACGUUAGCGGCGGACGGGUGAGUAACACGUGGAUAACCUACCUAUAAGACUGGGAUAACUUCGGGAAACCGGAGCUAAUACCGGAUAAUAUAUUGAACCGCAUGGUUCAAUAGUGAAAGACGGUUUUGCUGUCACUUAUAGAUGGAUCCGCGCCGCAUUAGCUAGUUGGUAAGGUAACGGCUUACCAAGGCAACGAUGCGUAGCCGACCUGAGAGGGGGAUCGGCCACACUGGAACUGAGACACGGUCCAGACUCCUACGGGAGGCAGCAGUAGGGAAUCUUCCGCAAUGGGCGAAAGCCUGACGGAGCAACGCGCGUGAGUGAUGAAGGUCUUCGGAUCGUAAAACUCUGUUAUUAGGGAAGAACAAAUGUGUAAGUAACUAUGCACGUCUUGACGGUACCUAAUCAGAAAGCCACGGCUAACUACGUG
Molecule: ribosomal RNA, 496 nt
Filed under: uncultured bacterium
Lineage: Bacteria
Description: partial 16S ribosomal RNA
Rfam family: Bacterial small subunit ribosomal RNA
Source: RNAcentral